UACGGCCGUAACCCGCCGAAACACUGGUUCCCGUCCGAUCAGCAAAGUUAAACAACGUUGAGCGUAGUUAGUACCCAUGUCGUGUGGCCGCUUGAAAAUACCAUGUGCUGUAAG
Non-coding RNA from Acanthosepion pharaonis, 114 nucleotides. The record is from the annotation of a GenBank genome assembly. NCBI's taxonomy places the organism in Eukaryota, Metazoa, Mollusca, Cephalopoda, Sepiida, Sepiidae.